GUCUACCAUGCAGUCGACGGUAACAGCAGAGCUUGCUCUGGCUGACGAGUGGCGCACGGGUGAGUAAUAUAUAGCUAACCUGCCCUUUGGUGGGGGACAACAGUUGGAAACGACUGCUAAUACCCCAUACUCCUUCUUACCAUAAGGUAAGUCGGGAAAGAUUUAUUGCCAAAGGAUGGGGCUGUACGGUAUCAGUUUGUUGGUGAGGUAACGGCUCACCAAGACUAUGACGCCUAGCUGGUCUGAGAGGAUGAUCAGCCACACUGGAACUGAGGCACGGUCCAGACUCCUACGGGAGGCAGCAGUGGGGAAUAUUGCACAAUGGGGGAAACCCUGAUGCAGCAACGCCGCGUGGAGGAUGACGCAUUUCGGUGUGUAAACUCCUUUUAUAUAGGAAGAUAAUGACGGUACUAUAUGAAUAAGCACCGGCUAACUCCGUGCCAGCAGCCGCGGUAAUACGGAGGGUGCAAGCGUUACUCGGAAUCACUGGGCGUAAAGGAUGCGUAGGCUGGAUGUCAAGUUGGAAGUGAAAUCCUAUGGCUUAACCAUAGAACUGCUUCCAAAACUGGCAACCUAGAGUGAGGGAGAGGCAGAUGGAAUUAGUGGUGUAGGGGUAAAAUCCGUAGAUAUCACUAGGAAUACCGAAAGCGAAGGCGAUCUCCUGGAACAUAACUGACGCUAAGGCGUGAAAGCG
Molecule: ribosomal RNA, 694 nt
Filed under: uncultured bacterium
Lineage: Bacteria
Description: bacterial SSU rRNA
Rfam family: Bacterial small subunit ribosomal RNA
Source: RNAcentral